This 109-nucleotide ribosomal RNA is filed under the name Candidatus Yanofskyibacteriota bacterium. The record is from RNAcentral. Lineage: Bacteria; Candidatus Yanofskyibacteriota.
GAUGGCGGCUAUACCAGGAGUGCUCCACCCGUUCCCAUUCCGAACACGGAAGUGAAAUCUCCUCAGGCCGAUGGUAGUCCGAAAGGGCAAGAGUAGGUAGCCGCCGUCU